GUAGGGAAUAUUGCACAAUGGGCGAAAGCCUGAUGCAGCAACGCCGCGUGCGCGACGAAGGCCUUCGGGUCGUAAAGCGCUUUUCGGGGAGACGAGGAAGGACGGUAUCCCCGGAAUAAGGCUCGGCUAACUACGUGCCAGCAGCCGCGGUAAAACGUAGGAGCCAAGCGUUAUCCGAAUUCACUGGGCGUAAAGCGCGUGCAGGCGGCCUGAUAAGUUGGAUGUGAAAGCUCCUGGCUCAACUGGGAGAGGACGUUCAAUACUGUCAGGCUAGAGGGCAGCAGAGGGAGGUGGAAUUCCCGGUGUAGUGGUGAAAUGCGUAGAUAUCGGGAGGAACACCAGUGGCGAAGGCGACCUCCUGGGCUGUACCUGACGCUCAGAUGCGAAAGCUAGGGGAGCGAACGGGAUUAGAAACCCGAGUAGUCC
Molecule: ribosomal RNA, 426 nt
Filed under: uncultured bacterium
Lineage: Bacteria
Description: bacterial SSU rRNA
Rfam family: Bacterial small subunit ribosomal RNA
Source: RNAcentral